Molecule: long non-coding RNA, 1100 nt
Organism: Polypterus senegalus (gray bichir)
Lineage: Eukaryota; Metazoa; Chordata; Cladistia; Polypteriformes; Polypteridae
Exons: 3
Source: RefSeq, a predicted model, not a curated record
GGGUGGCCAGGCAGAUCCAAGUAGCUACAGGCCAGUAAAGCUCAACAUGCAUCAAUGGUAAAUAAUGGGAGGAAUUAUUAAGGAGAAGAUCAAGCAGCGCAUGUUCAGAGCAGGAGGGUUAGCAACGAGUCAGCAUGGGAACAGACAAGGGAGCUCCAGUUUGACUCAUAUGCUGCAAUAAAAGCGGAUGAUCAGGGAGGUGCAUAUGAUGUGAUUUAUCUGGAUUUUCCGAAGGCAUUUGAUGCUACUCAUACAAUCUACUGGCACAUGAAAGGAUCAGCUGGCAAGAAUGGGAUCCGCUGCCCAAAUCCAGGGGUUAUGACAGACGAGACAAAAAGGUGAACACAAGCAUAGAUGACUGCUCCCUUUUCAAGUUCCUGCCAGCCCUUCUUGUCCCCAGCAGCCCCCUGUGCCCGUUGCAGAAGUCCAAUCAGGGCAAUACAGUCCAAGGUAUCCCUGCAUACCACUGUAGUGAUUCGAUCAAAAUCAAAAGCCUUGUAGCCUUUUACGAGGCUAAGAACUGGAUGGACUCGUUUGUUUUGGAGCUUUUUUUUUCCACUGUAAGCAGAAAUAGGAAAUACAAAUCAAACGUGUCCAGAGAGGAUGAGCCAAGCUGAGAUGGCCACUGCCAAGUGUUACGCCAAUGCCAACGUGUGCCAACAGUACAUAAACUGCUGGGGAAACCAAAAAAAAUGUUGCAAUGGGUGCAAUUACAGAAGGAAUGUGUUUGUCUUGUUCCACAAAUUAAUACAAAAAUGUGACGUUUAGCAUCCGUGUGUCUUAAAAUGACAAAAAAAGAAGGAAUAAAAAGUGAAACUGAAAUGUAGGAAGAGUGCAAAGAAAAGUGACAGAGCGCCAGUCACACGGCUGGUGCCAGACUCUGCAGCUGUCAAACCGUAUGGGCCGGCGAGCUGUGGGGAAAAGCGGCAGAGCGAAUGAGAAGGCAAAGGCAAGAACGAGGCAAAGGGCGGGCGACUAACUGGAAUAUAGCGCCUCCCUUAGUUAGAACUACCAGACUUACGGGACAAGAUGACACAUACCAGGGCUCUUGGGGGUCUGGGAUCUGAAUAAGAUCUGAGGGGUGCAGGUGUGUGUCGGGA